UCGGACUGCAGGGCGGGGAGUGCUCGGGCGCCUCUCCAUCCCGGGUGGCAGCGGCGCCAGACAUGCCCGUCACGUCCCCUGGACGAGAGGAAGAGGAGCGGACACGCAGGGAGAAGCCGGCCAUGUGAAUACAGACGCAGAGAUCCGAGUGGUGUAUUUACAAGCCAACAAAUGGCGAGCAUCACCAGGAGCCACCAGAAGCUGGAGGAAGCAAAGAAGGAGACCCCCGCCUCCCGCCCCCCAGAGCCUUCAGAGGGCUUCUAACUUCCAGCUGUGGUUUGUGUUGCUGGCUCAACCAAGAUCCUCCUUUGUCCUGUGCUGCCAGGAUUUUCCUGAAGAUUCUCCAGGUUGGCCCCAAAUCUCACUGCUUGGAGAAGCUGAAUGUCAACUUUGGAUCCAGAAUUUCCAUUGCACCUUCCCUCCUCUGAAGCAUUUGUGAAAAUGUUAAUUAAUUGUGGUUCAAACAGAGACCUCUGUGCCAACUCUGCCACCAUUCAGACAAGUGUUUCCGUUCUGUCUUAAGUCAGUUGGUUUCUGUUUGUAUUUGGCUCCAUCCAUUCCAAAAGGAAUUUGAGGAAUUCAAAACCCGCCUACACCAGAGGCCAGAUUUCCUGGCAUCCACGACAAAAUGGGAAGCCAGAUGGGGUAUGUAGUACUUAUUGCCUGAGUCUUCUCAAUGAUUCUAUGGCUUUAGUGCACAAGUUCACCAAGAUAUGUGUACAAGGAUGUUCAUCGCAGCAUUUGUAAGCGCAAAUAUCCAGCAAUUGGGACUGCUUAAAUAAACUGUAGGGGCCGCCUGGUGGCUCAGUCGGUUGAGCGUCCGACUUCAGCUCAGGUCAUGAUCUCGAGGUCUGUGAGUUCGAGCCCCAC
Lynx canadensis (Canada lynx) is the source of this 870-nucleotide long non-coding RNA. RefSeq lists it as uncharacterized. The transcript has 5 exons. The record is from RefSeq and is a predicted model, not a curated record. Lineage: Eukaryota; Metazoa; Chordata; Mammalia; Carnivora; Felidae.